GGUCGAGUCGGAAAUCUCGGACUCUCGGGAGGAUUCCACACCCUUCAGAAGGAACUGCGGAGCGACGUGUCGAAAGGCCUUCCUUGGCCUGGGGUUUGGGUUCCCUUUAGAUAGACGGAAACUGGCCAAGGUCGCUCCCAAAGGCCUCUAAAACCCUGCUCGACUGUUCUUCCCGCAGCGAGGCGAAGCAAAUGGCCACCGCGGUGGUUCUUCGAGCCCUGCGCCGGCGAGAUCUUUCCAGAUCUCUGUCUGGCCAUGCAAAAACAUGGGUUGGUUUCCAUCCAGGUUAUAAGUGGGCAAGUUUGGCCAGGCCAUUUAGCUCAAAACCAGCUGGAAAUGAUGUAAUUGGAAUUGAUUUAGGAACUACAAAUUCAUGUGUGGCUGUUAUGGAGGGAAAGAAUCCUAAGGUAAUAGAGAAUUCUGAAGGGUCAAGGACCACACCUUCUGUGGUUGCUUUUAAUCAGAAGGGAGAGCUACUUGUUGGAACUCCAGCAAAACGUCAAGCAGUGACCAACCCAACAAACACGAUCUUUGGGACCAAGCGACUGAUAGGACGCCGCUUUGAUGAUCCUCAGACACAGAAGGAGAUGAAGAUGGUUCCUUACAAGAUAGUCCGAGCUCCCAAUGGGGAUGCAUGGGUUGAAGCAAAUGGGCAGCAGUAUUCUCCCAGCCAGAUUGGUGCAUUUGUUCUGACUAAGAUGAAGGAAACUGCUGAAUCUUAUCUUGGGAAAUCUGUUUCUAAGGCAGUGAUUACUGUUCCGGCAUAUUUCAACGAUGCUCAGCGACAGGCUACAAAAGAUGCGGGAAGAAUUGCUGGCCUUGAUGUACAGAGAAUCAUUAAUGAACCCACUGCUGCAGCAUUAUCUUAUGGAAUGAAUAACAAAGAGGGCCUGAUAGCAGUUUUUGAUCUUGGAGGAGGAACAUUUGAUAUCUCAAUCUUAGAAAUAUCAAAUGGUGUAUUUGAGGUCAAAGCAACAAAUGGUGACACUUUCUUGGGUGGAGAGGACUUUGACAAUGCUUUGUUAGAUUUCUUAGUAAGCGAAUUUAAAAGAACUGAGGCAAUAGAUCUCUCAAAGGACAGGCUGGCUCUACAGAGGCUUCGAGAGGCAGCUGAGAAGGCCAAGAUUGAACUUUCAUCAACAUCUCAGACUGAGAUCAACCUUCCAUUUAUAACAGCUGAUGCAUCAGGAGCAAAGCAUAUGAAUAUCACGCUGACAAGAUCAAAGUUUGAAGUACUGGUGAAUCACCUGAUUGAGAGGACAAAAGAACCAUGCAAGAACUGUUUGAAGGAUGCUGGCAUAUCCACAAAGGAAGUUGAUGAGGUUCUUCUGGUAGGUGGGAUGACCAGGGUUCCUAAAAUUCAAGAAAUAGUUGCUGAAAUUUUUGGGAAGAACCCAAGCAAGGGAGUAAAUCCGGAUGAAGCUGUUGCAAUGGGUGCUGCCAUUCAGGGUGGCAUCCUCCGUGGAGAUGUUAAGGAGCUUCUUCUCUUAGAUGUUACUCCCUUGUCUCUUGGAAUUGAGACUCUUGGUGGUAUCUUUACCAGAUUGAUCAACAGGAACACAACCAUUCCUACAAAGAAAAGUCAGGUGUUUUCCACCGCCGCUGACAACCAGACGCAAGUGGGUAUACGUGUGCUUCAAGGAGAGCGUGAAAUGGCUGCAGACAACAAGCUCCUGGGCGAGUUUGAACUUGUGGGCAUCCCACCAGCUCCCAGAGGCAUGCCUCAGAUUGAGGUCACAUUUGAUAUUGAUGCCAAUGGAAUUGUGACAGUCUCUGCUAAAGACAAGGCAACUGGAAAGGAGCAGCAGAUUACCAUUCGGUCUUCUGGUGGGCUUUCAGAGGAGGAGAUCCAGAAAAUGGUCAAGGAAGCUGAGCUUCAUGCACAGAAAGACCAGGAGAGAAAAGCUUUGAUUGAUAUCAGGAACACUGCUGAUACUACAAUUUAUAGCAUUGAGAAAAGCUUGAGCGAGUAUAGGGAUAAGAUUCCAGCUGAGGUUGCUUCAGAGAUAGAGUCUGCAGUAGCAGACUUGCGCAAGGAGAUCGCAGGUGAUAAUAUUGACGCAAUAAAGGCAAAACUUGAUGCUGCAAAUAAGGUUGUUUCGAAGAUUGGGCAGCACAUGGCUGGAGGCUCCAGUGGGUCGGGUUCGAGUGGAUCUCAGGGUGGUGGUCAGGCACCAGAGGCAGAUUAUGAGGAGGUGAAGAAGUGAAGCGUGAAAGAGCAAGGCAAAAGCAACAGAAGCAAGGUGAUUCAAGGAUUUGUUGAUGCUAUUUUCUGCUGACUGAUAACUCUUUGCACAGUACUGUGUUUUGUUAAAGGGAAAUUGAGGAAUAUCUACGUCUCAGGAGAUUAUUGUUUUCCCUCCCUGCAGUAUUGGCAUAAUGUGUCCAUGCAAUGCAGCAUCAUUGAGAGCUAGGACAUAGAAAUGGAGUUUCUAUACCAUUUUGUUGUCUAACAAGCAGACUAAACUGCUGUAAACAGAGUUUUUUCUUAUACUGUUUAGCAGUUUUGUUGAAAAAAUCCUGCCGCAGUGAAUUGUUGAAUUUAGUCCAGCAUUGCUGUUGAAAAAGAAUGAUGCGGGCAAAGUUCUUGCUUGAUAUCACGAGUGGGGGAGUAUGGCGUGCUCGGAGUCAGAAAAAAUGAUUCGUUUUCUAUGGUUUUCUGGUGCAAUUAAUUUUACUUGUUUCCCUGCAAUAUUUUCCAAUGUCAUGUUGUUACAUUGCAAUUUGGCCUGUUGGAAGUAAGGCUGAAAUCCAAUCAGAUAUCGGAUAUUAGAAUA
This is an RNA transcript of Elaeis guineensis (African oil palm), 2777 nucleotides long. It is a transcript of the gene named heat shock 70 kDa protein, mitochondrial, with no coding region annotated. The record is from RefSeq and is a predicted model, not a curated record. Lineage: Eukaryota; Viridiplantae; Streptophyta; Magnoliopsida; Arecales; Arecaceae.